GAAAGGAAAUGGGGUCAAUAUUCCCCGACCCAGACACGGAGAUUGGGCCCUCGGGCCCAAUUGCGGCGACGCAACCGAACUCGGAGACGGCGACGGAGGACCCGGGGAAGAGUUGUCUUUUCUUUGUAAGGGUUCGCUUCCCUGGAAUCGGCUCGUCCGGAGAUAGGGACAGGGUUCCCGUAAAAGCACCGCGGCUCUUGCGGUGUCCGGUGCGCCUCCGUCGUCCCUUGCAAAUCCGAGGGAGAGAGUAUGAUUUUCGUUCCGGACCGUACCCAUAACCGCAGCAGGUCUCCAAG
This 296-nucleotide ribosomal RNA is filed under the name Iviraiva argentina. Its description in RNAcentral is "partial 28S ribosomal RNA". It matches the Rfam family "Eukaryotic large subunit ribosomal RNA", at positions 1596 to 1871 of the family's 3401-position model. Lineage: Eukaryota; Metazoa; Arthropoda; Arachnida; Araneae; Hersiliidae. The record is from RNAcentral.